GUUGUUCCUAAGCGGCAGAAGCCAGACACAGGUGUUAAGUAUGAGACAAGGAUUUCGUUUUGGGAAACAGGAUUAUCCCUCAACAUGGCUUUAGUGAGAAGAAGAGCAAUGCUGCUAAUAUUAGGAACAAGGAAGCACGUCAAAUCCCCACGUACAGCCUGAGGAAGUCAAGGAGAGAUACAUGGCUUGAGGAAGCAAGAAAAGACUCAAAGAAUAACCCCUGCAAGUAGCAGAUCCGGGGUCCACGUGAACAAGGAGGUGCCCGGGAGAGGCUGAGUGAGGGAUGCUGCUUUGAGAGGAUGCCAAGGUUCUGAAGUUCCCGUAUCCUAGAGCCACCUAGCUGAGCGAUUCUGGCCCAGGGUCUCGGCAGUCAAGCUGUCUCCCAGCUCUGCAGUCAUCUCAUCUGGCUUGACCAGGACUGAAGGGUCAGCUUUCGAGCUCACUCAAGUGUGAUGAGCAGGCCUCAAUCGCCUCAGACGACCAUCUAGUAUCGCCAUCCUUAACAUAAAGGAGGCUACGUUUGUAUCAUCACAAUUGCGCGAUUGAACUAUAGGGGAAGAGAAAUGUCUUUUGGUUUCUGAAUGUUUCCUCUUGAUGUUUCUAUUGCCCUUAAAAGAAAUUUCAGUGAUGGUCCGGAUGACUGGAGGCCACAAUGGAAGGAGUAUAGUAAGCUUGUAUUUGAACUGGAAAGAAAAUCAGUGAAUAUAGAAGUUAUUGCAGUCAAUUCACAUUUGAUUGUUCAAGAUUUCUGCGUGGGGAAACAAACCGGGUCAUUCAGGGGGCCUUUCAGCUCUCCGUAAGAGAAAGCUCAAUUAAACAUGACCAACAAUAAGGACAAUUAAAUCAAGAAUUAUAACAAGAAGCCCUAUUAUCUGCUGUUCCAGAGUUAUUGAAUUCAACCCCUCUGAGAGGCUCUGGGCUUUCCUGUGAUGGUGACAAGAUUGUCCAUGCUGGUCCGAGCAUCCUGUCUUUGCACAUCAGUGACCCGGGCCGUCAAGAAGAAGGGCAUGGCUUCCCCGCAGUGAGUUCUGUGUCAGUGCAGAGGUUCUCUUCAGGGUGAAGAGCCAAGGCUGUUCCUCUGGGAGGAUCAGCCCACGGUCCACAUCAAUUAAGUGAAAGAGCCUACAGAUUAGUUACCUGCUUAAAUGUGUGUACCAAGUCAACUUAUCUACUUGGCAGUUAUCUCUUCUUUAUAAAAUAGGACACAAGAGAAAACAUUUGACUUGUGUUUGGUCAGAUUUCCAAUAAAUAGAUAAUUUUAACCCAGAAUAUUUUGAAUAAUCUCAUUAACAUACCUCUGCAGUUGACUUCUCUGGAUUCAAUCUGAAUAUUACUAGCAAUCGACUGUGACUACACUGGGCCAAACUUCAGAGUCUGGAAUCAUAAAGACCUAAGUUACAGCGACUGAGUUCUUUGGUACUGAGUAGCUGUAUGUUAAGCAUGGCUCACAGAAAUAGAUAAUGCCUUGUGCUCCCCUAUGCUCCUGACACCUAGUUUAUGCAUCACUUCUGAUUUACAUGGAUGUUGAAAUGCCUCAUGGGAAAGUGGCACAUGGAGACUGAUAAGCUGAAUAGAUUGAGAUAUGAGAACGGAGACAGAUGGCAAGAUUGUGAGUUUUCAGAGAGAACUCUACCUUGGAAGUUGUGAAGUGUGGCACGAUGGGGCAGCUUCAGCGACAGGGCCUGAGGCUCCUGGUACUGUCCGGCUGCCUUGACCUAGACUUUCUGGAAGCAUUGUAUGCUGUGGGCGUAAAGUGCUGUGUGACAUUCUCAAAGAGCCACGACCCUGAAGUCUGUAUUCAUUUGAGACUCUGCUACACAGAAGCAGGAUAAAGGUAAAGGAGAUAUUUCAUUGUCCUCUUCAGGUAAUGGAGAUGACACCAGUGUCUGGGGCAGUUCAGUAGCAGCAUGAGCAUCAGCCUGAAUGGUGCUCCGAAUACCUAAGUGGGAAACAGAAGGAGAUAGAAGAGUGGACCAUGCAGAGUAUGGAGCAACUCCGAGUGGAGCUGGCCUGGGUCUUGAUGAUUCUAUGGCUCAUCGGGUAUAUAAUCAAUGCCCUGCAGAUUCUGCUAGAAGAGAGCCUUCUGGAAUAGGACUGAAGUUCUGCAUUAUGAAGGUUUUGCUAAAACAAAUCAGACCUCUGUGAACAUCUGCAUAAUGUCUCUGGGAUUAUGGGCAAGAGUUUCUGAUGGUUUUAUACCUGGAAUUGGAUUUUGGUGUCAUGACUUCUCCCGGAUAUCGUCAGAUCAUUUUCCAAAGUUAUUUUGUCAAAUUACGUUCCACCAACAUUUGUUCCACAUCCUCACAAACACUGAGUAUUGUCAGACUUUUCAAUAUUUUUCAUCUGUCUUUUUCAGGUGUGACUUGGACCUGGAUCUUCCAUAUAAAUUUCAGAGUUACAAAAACCUAAAACAAAAUGAGCAAAGCAGUUGGUAUACUGAUGAUUGGAAUUGCACGGAUUCUAUGUAUCAGUUUCGGGAAAUCUGACGUACUGGUAAUACUGAAUCUUUCUAAUCUUGCCAGAAUUUGAAGUUAAUUUAGAUAUUCUUUAAUGUCUUAUAAUAAAGUUUUGUAAUUUUAGUUUCAGUCCUAUUCUUUUAAAUGUUUUAGAAUCAUUCAUAGUUAUACUGUUUUUAUUAAUCUUAUAAAUGCUACUUUAAUAUUUAAUUUCUGAUAAGUAUGAAAAUUCAAUUUAUUUUUAUAUAGUGAUUUUAAACCUAACUCUUGUAUGUAGCAAACUUCCUCAUCUCUCACUAAUUUCACCUGUUAUUUUUCGUUGGUUCUGAGGCCCACACAUCUUUCUACAGUAGCCAUCGGCGGCUGGAGCUAGAUGCUUGAAAACUACAUUUCCCAGAAUGCCUUGCGAACUGGGCGGUUUAGGUUCUGGCAAAGGCAAAGCUCUCAGGAGAUGAGAGAGGGGGUGAGAGGAGUAAGGGAGAAGCCGUGCGGCCUGUGGCUUCCACAGGCAACAGUGGGCUUUGAUGGUGGCAGCAGCCGCAGGAGCAGUGGCUUUAGGGAACUGAGCAUUCUAGCGGUGGUGGUGGUGGUAACUGGAAGCAGAUGCUGAUUCUGUGGUGACUAGGUGGUGGCCUGAGGGCAGAGGCACGUGGGCUCAGAAGAAUGUAGGUUUUGGCAGAGCUGGUGACCCCCAAAGGGACUGGAGUCUCCUGCAGUAGUGCCUGCCACUGAGUUGGGUCAUCUGAUCUCCUUCUGGAGUGGUGACAGCUUCCUAUAGUCUCUUUCUAGUCCCUCCACGAUGCUUCCCUUCACUUCUCUAGUGGUCCUGCAGUUUAGUAACCUGAUUACUGGUAUGAAAUCUCUCUCUGUCGUUUCUGCUUUCCUGACUGUACUUUGAGUUGUGUAUUAAUUAGAAUUAUUUAUCUGUAGAUUUUGAGGUUUACUAUUUAGAGACUCAUAAUGUGCACAUUAUGAAAUAUUUGUUUCUUCUUUUCAAAUUCUUGCGUAUUAUCCUUAUCUUCUCCUCUUACGCUGACUAGACCCUUCUGCAAAAGAUGGAAUAAAAUUGUUCACAAUGGGCACACAUGGUCUAGAUUUAUAAUGUCUUAAUCUGGAUUUUAAAAGGAAG
Molecule: long non-coding RNA, 3585 nt
Organism: Equus caballus (horse)
Lineage: Eukaryota; Metazoa; Chordata; Mammalia; Perissodactyla; Equidae
Source: Ensembl